This 120-nucleotide microRNA precursor is filed under the name Loxodonta africana (African savanna elephant). RNAcentral's name for it is "miRNA (ENSLAFG00000032843.1)". The stretch from base 35 to 86 matches the Rfam family "mir-1302 microRNA precursor family". Lineage: Eukaryota; Metazoa; Chordata; Mammalia; Proboscidea; Elephantidae. The record is from RNAcentral.
GUUAAAUUUGUGCUUCAGGUAAGCAGCUGAUAAUUUUUUAGUUUAAGUAUGUCACGUGUAAUAUUUGAGACAUACUUGUACUAAAAUCUAUGGGUUGUUGUUUGAAGUGCAAAUUUGACU